This 114-nucleotide ribosomal RNA is filed under the name Phocaeicola vulgatus. RNAcentral describes it as "partial 16S ribosomal RNA". It matches the Rfam family "Bacterial small subunit ribosomal RNA", at positions 1 to 105 of the family's 1533-position model. Lineage: Bacteria; Pseudomonadati; Bacteroidota; Bacteroidia; Bacteroidales; Bacteroidaceae. The record is from RNAcentral.
ACAAUGAAGAGUUUGAUCCUGGCUCAGGAUGAACGCUAGCUACAGGCUUAACACAUGCAAGUCGAGGGGCAGCAUGGUCUUAGCUUGCUAAGGCCGAUGGCGACCGGCGCACGG